Molecule: unclassified non-coding RNA, 300 nt
Filed under: uncultured Chaetomiaceae
Lineage: Eukaryota; Fungi; Ascomycota; Sordariomycetes; Sordariales
Description: sequence contains 5.8S rRNA gene, ITS2
Rfam family: 5.8S ribosomal RNA (bases 1-84)
Source: RNAcentral
GGAUAAAGGGAAAGUGAAUCAUCGAAUCUUUGAACGCACAUUGCGCCCGCCAGUAUUCUGGCGGGCAUGCCUGUUCGAGCGUCAUUUCAACCAUCAAGCCCCCGGCUUGUGUUGGGGACCUGCGGCUGCCCGCAGGCCCUGAAAACCAGUGGCGGGCUCGCUGUCACUCCGAGCGUAGUAGCAUUAUCUCGCUCAGGGCGUGCUGCGGGUUCCGGCCGUUAAAAAGCCUUCAUAACCCAAGGUUGACCUCGGAUCAGGUAGGAAGACCCGCUGAACUUAAGCAUAUCAAUAAGCGGAGGA